UUCUUUAUCGAAGGAUAAAGCUAAGAUGGAAGCAGGUGUGAAUCCUGCACGGUCCCGCCACUGUAAGGGAAGAGUGGUUUUCAGCAUGUCACUGGAGUAUGCGGCAGCCGCCGCACUCUGGGAAGACGAAAAUUGCAAAGAUGCCCGAGUCAGGAGACAUGCG
This 163-nucleotide non-coding RNA is filed under the name human gut metagenome. The record is from RNAcentral.